GAUGAACGCUAGCUACAGGCUUAACACAUGCAAGUCGAGGGACCGGCGCACGGGAGAGUAACACGUAUCCAACCUGCCCUUUACUCGGGGAUAGCCUUUCGAAAGAAAGAUUAAUACCCGAUGUAAAGGAUGGGGAUGCGAUCCAUUAGGUUGUUGGUGAGGUAACGGCUAACCAAGCCUUCGAUGGAUAGGGGAUCUGAGAGGAAGGUCCCCCACAUUGGAGCUGAGACACGGUCCAAACUCCUACGGGAGGCAGCAGUGAGUAAUAGUGGUCAAUGGGCGUUAGCCUGACCCAGCCAAGUAGAGUGAAGGAUGAAGGGUUAUGGGUCGUAAACUUCUUUUAUAUAAGAAUAUGUAUUAUAUGAAUAAGGAUCGGCUAACUCCGUGCCAGCCGCCGCGGUAAUUC
RNAcentral lists this ribosomal RNA (406 nucleotides) under uncultured bacterium. Its description in RNAcentral is "partial 16S ribosomal RNA". It matches the Rfam family "Bacterial small subunit ribosomal RNA", at positions 28 to 526 of the family's 1533-position model. The record is from RNAcentral.